UUUUAAAAAAUACAUUUUAAACAUUAUUUUUCAUUGCUUUCAGACAUCUGAAGGCUCAUUCUUAUUGCUUAUAUCUUCUGUUCAAUUAAAAUAUUUCAUAAUUAUAAUCAAUGAGGUGAUCUGGUCAACUCUUACAAUGGAUGAUCUGGUAUAACCAAAAUAUAAAAACAUAUUAUUUUACUUACACAAUUUCUUCUCUUUCUAUCAUGUUUUCUCCUUACUAUGCCCAUAUUUUAAUGAAGAUUAUUACUAUGAGCUGCCUAAGGAGCUCAAGAUUCAAAAGCUUUUGAAUAUUUCUCAUUGAUUUUCUCAAGACUAUUUAUGAAAGAAGUUAAAUUGGCAGUUAAUAAAAUUAACUGAAAUUCAUUUAAAUCCUCAAAAGGAAUUAAUGUGAUUGAAAUGUUACAUUGAUUACUAUUUCCUGCCCUUUAAUUUUGUGAGUUUUUUAAUUUUGUUUUGUUUUCUUAGGUAACUUGGUUAAGUGACUUGUCCAGAGUGACACAGUGUUGAGUGUCUGAGGCUGGAUUUGAAUUCAGGUUAUCCUGAUUUCUGGGCUUAUGUUCUACCCAGUUCACCAUUUAGCUGAUCCCUGCCCUUAAAUUUGAGGUUUAAUUAAGCAACUUAGACCCAGAAAAACAGGAAAGUAUAGCAAAAUCAGCUAAUUUCCCAUAAUAUUAGAAAUAAAGGGGGGAGUGGUUUACUCUGAUAGCCUUUGAGGGACCUAGAAAAACAGGAGAGAUGAGAGAAAAUACAUGAGACACUGAAGGCAGGAUCAAAGAAAGAGAGGCUACCCAAGGGAUGCAAAAAAUAUCGGUUCUCUUCUUGCCAUGGAAUUACUGACUUCAUGUAAAACUAAACAUUUUUCCUUGAAAUUUCUUUGUAUGUAGGUAAUACACAGGAUGGCCAAGUAAUAGAAGGCCUGCCUUCGGAUUCAAGAAGUCCUGAAUUAAAGCUCUGACAUUUGCUUAUAGUGAGAUGAGGAAGAAAUAAACUAAAAACUGUGACCAACUCUCUCAAACUGUAACCUUUGGAGCACAUGAUGACCUGCAGGAAACUACUUCACCAAAAACUGGCCUAUACCAAUUAAAUAACAGAUCUGGAACCUAGCAGAAGACAGAGUUAUAAGAGUAAAAGAAUACUGGAUUUUUAUCAGAGAUUGAUUCUACUCAAACUUUUCACUUUACUGAUGAAGAAAGUAGACCCAAGAGAUUAAAUGACUUUUCUACAUUUAUUUCUGAGCUGAAAUUUUCCCAAAGUGAACAACAGAGUUUUAUUCUGCAUGUCUAAUAAAAGUAUAUUUGCAUUUUCUAA
This is a long non-coding RNA of Antechinus flavipes (yellow-footed antechinus), 1311 nucleotides long. RefSeq lists it as uncharacterized. The transcript has 2 exons. Lineage: Eukaryota; Metazoa; Chordata; Mammalia; Dasyuromorphia; Dasyuridae. The record is from RefSeq and is a predicted model, not a curated record.